This 408-nucleotide ribosomal RNA is filed under the name uncultured bacterium. RNAcentral describes it as "partial 16S ribosomal RNA". It matches the Rfam family "Bacterial small subunit ribosomal RNA", at positions 28 to 526 of the family's 1533-position model. The record is from RNAcentral.
GACGAACGCUGGCGGCGUGCUUAACACAUGCAAGUCGAACGAAGUGGCGAACGGGUGAGUAACGCGUAAUCAACCUGCCCUUCAGAGGGGGAAAAGAGUGGGAAACGACUGCUAAUACCGCAUACUGUAGGAGGGGAUGGCGUCUGAUUGGCUAGUGGGAGGGGUAACGGCCCACCAAGGCGAUGAUUAGUAGCCGGUCUGAGAGGAUGGACGGCCCCAUUGGGACUGGGCCCCGGCCCAGACUCCUACGGGAGGCAGCAGUUGGGAAUCUUUCGCAAUGGACGAAAGUCUGACGGCGCAACGCCGCGUGAGUGAUGACGGCCUUCGGGUUGUAAAGCUCUGUUAAUCGGGACGCGGUACCGGAAUAGAAAGCCACGGCUAACUACGUGCCAGCCGCCGCGGUAAUUC